RNAcentral lists this ribosomal RNA (402 nucleotides) under uncultured bacterium. Its description in RNAcentral is "bacterial SSU rRNA". It matches the Rfam family "Bacterial small subunit ribosomal RNA", at positions 355 to 774 of the family's 1533-position model. The record is from RNAcentral.
UGGGGAAUAUUGGACAAUGGGCGAAAGCCUGAUCCAGCCAUGCCGCGUGAGUGAUGAAGGCCCUAGGGUUGUAAAGCUCUUUUGUGCGGGAAGAUAAUGACGGUACCGCAAGAAUAAGCCCCGGCUAACUUCGUGCCAGCAGCCGCGGUAAUACGAAGGGGGCUAGCGUUGCUCGGAAUCACUGGGCGUAAAGGGUGCGUAGGCGGGUUUCUAAGUCAGAGGUGAAAGCCUGGAGCUCAACUCCAGAACUGCCUUUGAUACUGGAAGUCUUGAGUUCGGGAGAGGUGAGUGGAACUGCGAGUGUAGAGGUGAAAUUCGUAGAUAUUCGCAAGAACACCAGUGGCGAAGGCGGCUCCCUGGGUUGACACUGACGCUCAUGCACGAAAGCGUGGGGAGCAAACA